CGGGUGGUACCAUUUAUAAUAGACUAGAAACACACACUUAAAGUUCGCUCUAGAUGUCUCUCUCAUGCUUCAACAUACCAUGUGACCAUAUAGACACUUUAUAUUAGUUUUAGUAUGUCUCGUAAAUACUCCGAGGUGACAUGAAAAAAUGAGUGUCUCGCUCAUAUUUGAGCAUGUGAAAAUGCAUAAAAUUAUAUUUUUACUUUAAUUUUUUUCAUGUGGACCCCGUCUUCUUCAUCUCCAAUCAAGCCAUAGCCACCAUCACCAUGUUUGAUCUUUUCUUGUUCUGAAAGAUGGAUUUCACAUUACCUUUUUUUUCUCUCGCCUCACCAUCUUCACUUUGCCACAAGCUCAUCUUCUCCAUUUGUCUUCCACCAUAUGAGCUUUACCAAACUUCACUCUAAUACUCAAAACAGCCAUGUACAUAAGCUCUUUUAAGUCAAAAAACGAGCAGCCCCAUCACUAUCAAACAACUCGCACACAGAAGUACAAAAACACCAUGUAACCAUCACCCAUCUUCUCAACCUAAAAAUAACAAAAAAUUUGUCAAUUUGUCCAAAAGUAACAUGAAGAAGAAAGAAAAACCUCGUUACCUCCAUCUCCUCGUAAACAAUAUCUGGAUCAUUCAAAAACAAUAACAUUUAACAUUAAGAAGAAGAAAAAUCUAAA
This 669-nucleotide long non-coding RNA is filed under the name Nicotiana tabacum (common tobacco). RNAcentral describes it as "long non-coding RNA (NTAB_LNC006668)". The record is from RNAcentral. Lineage: Eukaryota; Viridiplantae; Streptophyta; Magnoliopsida; Solanales; Solanaceae.